AGAGUUUGAUCCUGGCUCAGGACGAACGCUGGCGGCGUGCUUAACACGUGCAAGUCGAACGGUGACCUCGAGAGCUUGCUCUCGGGUGAUCAGUGGCGAACGGGUGAGUAACACGUGAGUAACCUGCCCCAGACUCUGGAAUAACCCCGGGAAACCGGAGCUAAUACCGGAUACGAGACGGAGAGGCAUCUCUACCGUCUGGAAAGUUUUUCGGUCUGGGAUGGACUCGCGGCCCAUCAGCUAGUUGGUGAGGUAACGGCUCACCAAGGCGACGACGGGUAGCCGGCCUGAGAGGGCGACCGGCCACACUGGGACUGAGACACGGCCCAGACUCCUACGGGAGGCAGCAGUGGGGAAUAUUGCACAAUGGGCGAAAGCCUGAUGCAGCGACGCCGCGUGAGGGAUGAAGGCCUUCGGGUUGUAAACCUCUUUCAGCAGGGAAGAAGCGAAAGUGACGGUACCUGCAGAAGAAGCACCGGCUAACUACGUGCCAGCAGCCGCGGUAAUACGUAGGGUGCGAGCGUUGUCCGGAAUUAUUGGGCGUAAAGAGCUUGUAGGCGGUUUGUCGCGUCUGCCGUGAAAAUCCGGGGCUCAACCCCGGACUUGCGGUGGGUACGGGCAGACUAGAGUGUGGUAGGGGAGACUGGAAUUCCUGGUGUAGCGGUGAAAUGCGCAGAUAUCAGGAGGAACACCGAUGGCGAAGGCAGGUCUCUGGGCCACUACUGACGCUGAGAAGCGAAAGCGUGGGGAGCGAACAGGAUUAGAUACCCUGGUAGUCCACGCCGUAAACGUUGGGAACUAGGUGUGGGUCUCAUUCCACGAGAUCCGUGCCGCAGCUAACGCAUUAAGUUCCCCGCCUGGGGAGUACGGCCGCAAGGCUAAAACUCAAAGGAAUUGACGG
This 901-nucleotide ribosomal RNA is filed under the name uncultured bacterium. Its description in RNAcentral is "bacterial SSU rRNA". It matches the Rfam family "Bacterial small subunit ribosomal RNA", at positions 8 to 916 of the family's 1533-position model. The record is from RNAcentral.